Molecule: ribosomal RNA, 809 nt
Filed under: marine metagenome
Description: bacterial SSU rRNA
Rfam family: Bacterial small subunit ribosomal RNA
Source: RNAcentral
AGAGUUUGAUCAUGGCUCAGAAUGAACGCUGGCGGCACGCUUAACACAUGCAAGUCGAACGAGAUCUUCGGAUCUAGUGGCAGACGGGUGAGUAACGCGUGGGAACCUGCCCAGUAGUAGAGAAUAACUUGGGGAAACUUAAGCUAAUACUUUAUACGUCCUUCGGGAGAAAGCUUUAUGCGCUAUUGGAUGGGCCCGCGUUAGAUUAGUUUGUUGGUGAGGUAAUGGCUCACCAAGGCGACGAUCUAUAGCUGGUCUGAGAGGAUGAUCAGCCACACUGGGACUGAGACACGGCCCAGACUCCUACGGGAGGCAGCAGUGGGGAAUAUUGGACAAUGGGGGCAACCCUGAUCCAGCGAUGCCGCGUGAGUGAUGAAGGCCCUAGGGUUGUAAAACUCUUUCGUCAGGGAAGAUAAUGACGGUACCUGAAGAAGAAGAUCCGGCUAACUCCGUGCCAGCAGCCGCGGUAAUACGGAGGGGUCUAGCGUUAUUCGGAAUUACUGGGCGUAAAGCGAGCGUAGGCGGAUUUGUAAGUUGGAGGUGAAAUCCCAGAGCUUAACUCUGGAACUGCCUUCAAAACUACAUUUCUUGAGUUUGGUAGAGGAGAGUGGAAUUCCUAGUGUAGAGGUGAAAUUCGUAGAUAUUAGGAGGAACACCAGUGGCGAAGGCGACUCUCUGGGCCAAUACUGACGCUGAGGUUCGAAAGCAUGGGUAGCGAACAGGAUUAGAUACCCUGGUAGUCCAUGCAGUAAACGAUGAGUGCUAGAUGUGGGAUUUAAAUUUCCAGUAUCGCAGUAACGCGUUAGCAC